AGCCAACACCGAAUCCCAUUGUUUGCACAUUGCUUUUAGUUUUGUUAGGGUUUCGUUAUUUUUGUUUUUCUGUUUCUUUUGCAUUACAUUUUUUUGUCUAAUGUAUUCGUUUUUUGUUUUCCAUAAACCUCAAAAGUGUGUUCCUUGGCUGCGGCAGUGGGAGUUAAUGAGUAUAGAAAUGGUUAUGGUGGACGUGAUCAUACACCUCUUUGUGGACGUGAUAAUAGACUCAUGCAAGAAUCGUGAAAUCAUGUUUUCAGUGUGUUCAGCGGAUGCGUUAGUGGGAUUUAAUGAGUAUUGAAAUGGUUAUGCUGGACGUGAUAAUAGACUCAUGCAAGGUAUAGAAUCGUGAAAUCAUGUUUUCUAGUAUUCAUGGUAUAUGUUAUCUUGAUUUUGUUUGUAGAUAUACUCCCCGCAUGGGAAAGUCGCAUUUAAAGGUUGUUUAUUUAUGGAAUUUCUAAUGUUGUAAUCGAGUAUAUAUUUCGAUUUAUUAACCAUGAAUUUUAACCGAAUUAGGAUCUUGGUUAUUGGUUUUGGGAUU
Molecule: long non-coding RNA, 541 nt
Organism: Papaver somniferum (opium poppy)
Lineage: Eukaryota; Viridiplantae; Streptophyta; Magnoliopsida; Ranunculales; Papaveraceae
Exons: 2
Source: RefSeq, a predicted model, not a curated record